Molecule: ribosomal RNA, 286 nt
Filed under: uncultured Rikenellaceae bacterium
Lineage: Bacteria; Pseudomonadati; Bacteroidota; Bacteroidia; Bacteroidales; Rikenellaceae
Description: partial 16S ribosomal RNA
Rfam family: Bacterial small subunit ribosomal RNA
Source: RNAcentral
GAGCGCAACCCUUGUCCUAGUUACCAGCACGUUAUGUGGGCACUCUAAGGAGACUGCCGGUGACAAACCGGAGGAAGGUGGGGAUGACGUCAAGUCAUCACGGCCCUUACGUCCAGGGCUACACACGUGUUACAAUGGCCGGUACAGAGGGCAGCCACCCGCGAGGGGGCGCGAAUCCCGAAAGCCGGUCCCAGUUCGGAUCGGAGUCUGCAACCCGACUCCGUGAAGCUGGAUUCGCUAGUAAUCGCGCAUCAGCCACGGCGCGGUGAAUACGUUCCCGGGCCUU